This 274-nucleotide ribosomal RNA is filed under the name uncultured bacterium. RNAcentral's name for it is "partial 16S ribosomal RNA". It matches the Rfam family "Bacterial small subunit ribosomal RNA", at positions 523 to 796 of the family's 1533-position model. The record is from RNAcentral.
AUACGGAGGGUGCGAGCGUUAAUCGGAAUUACUGGGCGUAAAGGGUGCGUAGGCGGCUUGAUAAGUCGGAUGUGAAAGCCCCGGGCUUAACCUGGGAAUUGCAUUCGAUACUGUCAGGCUAGAGUAUGUCAGUGGUUGGCGGAAUUCCUGGUGUAGCGGUGAAAUGCGUAGAUAUCAGGAGGAACACCAGUGGCGAAGGCGGCUAACUGGGGCAAUACUGACGCUGAGGCACGAAAGCGUGGGGAGCAAACAGGAUUAGAAACCCUAGUAGUCC